RNAcentral lists this ribosomal RNA (497 nucleotides) under uncultured bacterium. RNAcentral's name for it is "partial 16S ribosomal RNA". It matches the Rfam family "Bacterial small subunit ribosomal RNA", at positions 28 to 507 of the family's 1533-position model. The record is from RNAcentral.
GAUGAACGCUGGCGGCGUGCCUAAUACAUGCAAGUCGAGCGAACGGACGAGAAGCUUGCUUCUCUGAUGUUAGCGGCGGACGGGUGAGUAACACGUGGAUAACCUACCUAUAAGACUGGGAUAACUUCGGGAAACCGGAGCUAAUACCGGAUAAUAUUUUGAACCGCGUGGUUCAAAAGUGAAAGACGGUCUUGCUGUCACUUAUAGAUGGAUCCGCGCUGCAUUAGCUAGUUGGUAAGGUAACGGCUUACCAAGGCAACGAUGCAUAGCCGACCUGAGAGGGUGAGCGGCCACACUGGAACUGAGACACGGUCCAGACUCCUACGGGAGGCAGCAGUAGGGAAUCUUCCGCAAUGGGCGAAAGCCUGACGGAGCAACGCCGCGUGAGUGAUGAAGGUCUUCGGAUCGUAAAACUCUGUUAUUAGGGAAGAACAUAUGUGUAAGUAACUGUGCACAUCUUGACGGUACCUAAUCAGAAAGCCACGGCUAACUACGUG